Molecule: long non-coding RNA, 2434 nt
Filed under: Cicer arietinum (chickpea)
Lineage: Eukaryota; Viridiplantae; Streptophyta; Magnoliopsida; Fabales; Fabaceae
Description: long non-coding RNA (CARI_LNC001169)
Source: RNAcentral
GCAAAGGCAAUUGCUGAAGUCAUACAAGAGAAAUAUAAAAAACCAUGGUUGUCUUGGGGUGAGAUAAAAGAGGAUAAGACACCUCAAUUUAGCGAAGUUGAUCAAUUUUUACAUUGUUUCAAAGUAAGUGAUUAGAUUAAUUUAUUUAAUUACUAAUUAUAUAUACAUUUGAUUGCUUAAUUGAAUUAUAUUUUUAAUAUUUUUUAAAUUUAAACAAACAAUAGACUAAAUGUACUUGGAAAAGAGAGCAUGAUGCCGCAGUUUUGACUUCUUUUGACCAUCGCUUUUCCAAGCGUCUCUCAUCUAUGUUGGCUUACGCAAGUAAUAAGGGCGAGGAAAAAUGACCUAAUUGAAUUGGUGAGAAUGUUUGGAGUGCGUUGUAAGUCAUGAGCUUCCCUGAUCAUGUUUUUGAUUUAAUUCCCAAACACACAGUACAUGUGAAAUAUUUGAUUGAUCUAAUGUUUUGAAUUGAGAAAUAUUUCAGGUAUACAAGAAGACACCACACACAAUUGGAACAAUAGCUUGCAACUCAAGGAAUCAACCAAAGUUGGAGGAUGCACUUGAGAAAGACGCAAAAAUUGUAUAGUGUUAUUAAGUGUCUUAGUAAUAAGUUUAGUAGACUAAUCACUAUGGUCUCACACUUAAGUCUUUGCCUAUGAAUGAAAAUCAAUCAACCAAAAAGUCAAUUGCUGAAUCGAUUGAUAAAUCGAUUGUCUGACUCAGAACAAGUGUUUUCAUUACAUCAAUCGAUUGAGGAAUCGAUUGGAUAAAUGUUUUUAAGUGAAACCUGAGUUUUGGGAUACAAUCAAUCGAUUAGACAAUCGACUGGGCAAUCCAUUGAGCAAUCGAUUUAGUAAGUCACAGAAACAACCAAUGAUGGGAACAAUCGAUUACCAAAUCGAUUGAUACCAAGUUUAAAAUCAGGUUUAAAGUUCUGUGAUGCAACAAAUCGAUUGGGACAUCAAUUGAUUUAGUUUUCUUAAAAAUCCAAGUUUGACGCAAUCGAUUGCAGAUUAAUCAUUCAUCAGAACAACUUUGAUCAAAUCGAUUGGCAAAUAGAUUUUGUCAAAAUAGUUGAGGUUCUGUAACACGCACAAUCGAUUGGCUAAUCGAUUGAUGGAAAAGUCUGAGUCACUAUGAUCAGCACAAUCGAUUGACGAAUCGAUUGAAGAAAAUGUUCAAGUUACAGAAAGGGUUCAACUAAGUGCCAAAUCGAUUAUGAAGUCGACUAAGGAAUCGAUUGUUUUGAUUUCGUUGUUGAAUCAAAACACCUAUAAUCGAUUACUCAAUCGAUUUGGAUAAAACCAUAGUUCCAGUUCUGAUUAAUGUAUUAAAAGAAUCGAUUGGCAAAUCGAUUCAUGCUUAUAUGAUUCAAGAUUCAAGAAAAACAAGACCUGUGAAAAUCAAUUAGACAAUCGAUUAAUGCAUUAUGAAAUCGAUUAGGAAAUCGAUUGUCCUGAUGUUUUCUUUGAAUAUAUAUAAGCUGAUUCAAACGUUUUUAAAAAGAACUUUUGCAUAAAACUUUUGCAUACUUUUCAUAAUCUUUGACAAUCACUUGAAAAACACUUUUGACAGAAAAGUUUUUCACACACAUACACACAAACAUUCAUAGCCAAAAAAUACUUUUGUGUGAGAACCAAAAUAGUGAUUUGAGUCAAAUCUUUGUACAUCUUUAAUUCUUGAAAAACACAACUCUUUGUAAUUAAAGGAUUGGAAAAUCCAGUUUAGAAACUGGUGGCGAUCUUCGUUGAUGUAGGAUCAUCAAGAAGGAGCUUCACUUGAUCUUGUGUAUGUUUGACCAUUGACUGCAAGGAUCAAGGGGUUGAGAAAUAGAAAAGAGUUUGAGUUAGAUAGAUAUGCUUCGAGGAAGAUGGACAAAUCUGUAAAAGGGUCUCAAUUCUUUCUAUUGAAAAAGGCUGAAAUCCAGUUGGAUUUCAGGACUGGAUGUAGGCUGUCAUACUGACAGCUGAACCAGGAUAAAUCUUGGUGCCAUCUCUCUAUCCCUUAUCUCUUUACUUUUCAUAUUCAUCUUGUAUGCGAUCUAAUAUUUCCGCUGUGUACUUUGUGUAUGAAUCUUGCAUAGUUCACAUAGGAAUUAAAAUUGAACACGUUGGAUUUGAUCUUAAUUCUCUUAUUCUUAAUCAAAAGAAGUCAUAUUUUUCCAACAUAAGACACCUCAAUUUAGCGAAGUUGAUCAAUUUUUACAUUGUUUCAAAGUAAGUGAUUAGAUUAAUUUAUUUAAUUACUAAUUAUAUAUACAUUUGAUUGCUUAAUUGAAUUAUAUUUUUAAUAUUUUUUAAAUUUAAACAAACAAUAGACUAAAUGUACUUGGAAAAGAGAGCAUGAUGCCGCAGUUUUGGCUUCUUUUGACCAUCGCUUUUCCAAGCGUCUCUCAUCUAUGUUGGCUUACGCACGUAAUAAGGGCGAGGAAAAA